AUUGAACGCUGGCGGCAUGCUUUACACAUGCAAGUCGAACGGUAACAGGCUGCAAGGUGCUGACGAGUGGCGAACGGGUGAGUAAUGCAUCGGAACGCGCCCAGUCGUGGGGGAUAACUACUCGAAAGAGUAGCUAAUAUAGCCUACGAUCUAAGGCUGACAGCGGGGGACCGUAAGGCCUCGUCCGACUGGAGCGGAUGAUGUCAGAUUAGGUAGUUGGUGGGGUAAAGGCUCACCAAGGCAACGAUCUGUAGCUGGUCUGAGAGGACGACCAGCCACACUGGGACUGAGACACGGCCCAGACUCCUACGGGAGGCAGCAGUGGGGAAUUUUGGACAAUGGGCGCAAGCCUGAUCCAGCAAUGCCGCGUGCGGGAAGAAGGCCUUCGGGUUGUAAACUGCUUUUGUACGGAACGAAACGGCGCUGGUUAAUACCCGGGGCUAAUGACGGUACCGUAAGAAUAAGCACCGGCUAACUACGUG
Molecule: ribosomal RNA, 482 nt
Filed under: uncultured bacterium
Lineage: Bacteria
Description: partial 16S ribosomal RNA
Rfam family: Bacterial small subunit ribosomal RNA
Source: RNAcentral